AUUUUAUCCUGUUAGUAGAGUACUAAAUUAUGCUAAUCAUUAUUAUUUUAUAACUCAUCGACUCCACAUGUAAGUAAGAUUCUAAUGAUAUCAUUAUCAAUGAAAUGUGGCACUUAAGUGACAAUGGAUUGAAUGUCAUGGUAUUAACUGAUGAAAAAAUUUUGUCCUUAUUAUCAAAGCUUUAAACUGCAUGGAAUUUUUCUAAACUUUUUCCUUAUUUUAAGUUCUGAAAAUAGUGUUUUUUGUAUCAACCAUGGCACCUUUUAAUGCUGACAAACAUGGAUGUACAAUCAGAGUUCCUCCUGAGGUUAGACUAUGUCAGGUGCUCUAUCUAUUCCUGUCCCCCCAAAGCAUUUUCUUGUGAUCCGUAUAGACAUGUGACUUUUAGAUUGACAACUGUUAUCUUAGUUGAUACUAUAUUGAGGAUUUAUAUGUUUAUUAUUUUUUUUUUCAUGACACAUUUAGUACAAGUAAUCAUUUGGGCACUACUGAUAUUUGAAUUCUGAUUUAGUAAUAUGAACCAUUAUGCUAGUGAAUAGAAUCUGGAUAGUGAUAUUCUGUAUAUGAAUCAUCUAAUACUGUUACUUGGGUACUCUUUUUUCCCCCAGGACUUGUCCCCUAAUCGACUCCAGGA
Molecule: unclassified non-coding RNA, 634 nt
Filed under: Hevea brasiliensis (rubber tree)
Lineage: Eukaryota; Viridiplantae; Streptophyta; Magnoliopsida; Malpighiales; Euphorbiaceae
Source: RNAcentral